AUUGAACGCUGGCGGCAUGCCUUACACAUGCAAGUCGAACGGCAGCACGGGAGCAAUCCUGGUGGCGAGUGGCGAACGGGUGAGUAAUAUAUCGGAACGUGCCCAGUCGUGGGGGAUAACGCAGCGAAAGCUGUGCUAAUACCGCAUACGAUCUACGGAUGAAAGCGGGGGAUCGCAAGACCUCGCGCGAUUGGAGCGGCCGAUAUCAGAUUAGCUAGUUGGUGAGGUAAAGGCUCACCAAGGCGACGAUCUGUAGCUGGUCUGAGAGGACGACCAGCCACACUGGAACUGAGACACGGUCCAGACUCCUACGGGAGGCAGCAGUGGGGAAUUUUGGACAAUGGGCGAAAGCCUGAUCCAGCAAUGCCGCGUGCAGGAUGAAGGCCUUCGGGUUGUAAACUGCUUUUGUACGGAACGAAACGGUGAGCUCUAAUACAGUUUGCUAAUGACGGUACCGUAAGAAUAAGCACCGGCUAACUACGUGCCAGCCGCCGCCGUAA
RNAcentral lists this ribosomal RNA (500 nucleotides) under uncultured bacterium. Its description in RNAcentral is "partial 16S ribosomal RNA". It matches the Rfam family "Bacterial small subunit ribosomal RNA", at positions 30 to 523 of the family's 1533-position model. The record is from RNAcentral.